GCCUACAGGAGGCAGCAGUGGGGAAUAUUGGGCAAUGGGCGCAAGCCUGACCCAGCAACGCCGCGUGAAGGAAGAAGGCUUUCGGGUUGUAAACUUCUUUUCUCAGGGACGAAGAAAGUGACGGUACCUGAGGAAUAAGCCACGGCUAACUACGUGCCAGCAGCCGCGGAAAUACGUAGGUGGCAAGCGUUAUCCGGAUUUACUGGGUGUAAAGGGCGUGUAGGCGGGGAAGCAAGUCGGAUGUGAAAACCACGGGCUCAACCUGUGGCCUGCAUUUGAAACUGUUUUUCUUGAGUACUGGAGAG
Molecule: ribosomal RNA, 305 nt
Filed under: uncultured bacterium
Lineage: Bacteria
Description: bacterial SSU rRNA
Rfam family: Bacterial small subunit ribosomal RNA
Source: RNAcentral